AGUGGAACUGCUGGAUCAUGUGGUAAUUUUAGGCUUCAAAGAAGUUGCCAUAUUAUUUUCCAUAGCAGCUACACCAUUUUACAGCCCCACCACCAGU
This 97-nucleotide microRNA precursor is filed under the name Marmota monax (woodchuck). The record is from RNAcentral. Lineage: Eukaryota; Metazoa; Chordata; Mammalia; Rodentia; Sciuridae.